RNAcentral lists this transfer RNA (75 nucleotides) under Candidatus Peregrinibacteria bacterium CG2_30_44_17. RNAcentral describes it as "tRNA-Gly". It matches the Rfam family "tRNA". From Rfam's summary of the family: Transfer RNA (tRNA) molecules are approximately 80 nucleotides in length. The record is from RNAcentral. RNAcentral also lists the same sequence under 1 other name. Lineage: Bacteria; Candidatus Peregrinibacteriota.
GCGGGUAUCGUAUAGUGGCUAUUACGACUGGUUGCCAAUCAGUAAAGACGGGUUCGAUCCCCGUUACCCGCUCCA